UACGUAGGGUGCGAGCGUUGUCCGGAAUUAUUGGGCGUAAAGAGCUCGUAGGCGGUGUGUCACGUCGGCCGUGAAAACCUGCAGCUUAACUGUGGGCGUGCGGUCGAUACGGGCAUCACUGGAGUUCGGCAGGGGAGACUGGAAUUCCUGGUGUAGCGGUGAAAUGCGUAGAGAUCAGGAAGAACACCGGUGGCGAAGGCGGAUCUCUGGGCCAUUACUGACGCUGAGGAGCGAAAGCGUGGGGAGCGAACAGG
This 254-nucleotide ribosomal RNA is filed under the name uncultured bacterium. Its description in RNAcentral is "partial 16S ribosomal RNA". It matches the Rfam family "Bacterial small subunit ribosomal RNA", at positions 524 to 776 of the family's 1533-position model. The record is from RNAcentral.